Molecule: ribosomal RNA, 1433 nt
Filed under: uncultured organism
Description: partial small subunit ribosomal RNA
Rfam family: Bacterial small subunit ribosomal RNA
Source: RNAcentral
UCGGCGUGCUUAACACAUGCAAGUCGAACGGAAAGGCUCUGCUUUUGUGGGGUGCUCGAGUGGCGAACGGGUGAGUAACACGUGAGUAACCUGCCCUUGACUUUGGGAUAACUUCAGGAAACUGGGGCUAAUACCGGAUAGGAGCUCCUGCUGCAUGGUGGGGGUUGGAAAGUUUCGGCGGUUGGGGAUGGACUCGCGGCUUAUCAGCUUGUUGGUGGGGUAGUGGCUUACCAAGGCUUUGACGGGUAGCCGGCCUGAGAGGGUGACCGGCCACAUUGGGACUGAGAUACGGCCCAGACUCCUACGGGAGGCAGCAGUGGGGAAUAUUGCACAAUGGGCGGAAGCCUGAUGCAGCAACGCCGCGUGCGGGAUGACGGCCUUCGGGUUGUAAACCGCUUUCGCCUGUGACGAAGCGUGAGUGACGGUAAUGGGUAAAGAAGCACCGGCUAACUACGUGCCAGCAGCCGCGGUGAUACGUAGGGUGCGAGCGUUGUCCGGAUUUAUUGGGCGUAAAGGGCUCGUAGGUGGUUGAUCGCGUCGGAAGUGUAAUCUUGGGGCUUAACCCUGAGCGUGCUUUCGAUACGGGUUGACUUGAGGAAGGUAGGGGAGAAUGGAAUUCCUGGUGGAGCGGUGGAAUGCGCAGAUAUCAGGAGGAACACCAGUGGCGAAGGCGGUUCUCUGGGCCUUUCCUGACGCUGAGGAGCGAAAGCGUGGGGAGCGAACAGGCUUAGAUACCCUGGUAGUCCACGCUGUAAACGGUGGGUACUAGGUGUGGGGUCCAUUCCACGGGUUCCGUGCCGUAGCUAACGCUUUAAGUACCCCGCCUGGGGAGUACGGCCGCAAGGCUAAAACUCAAAGGAAUUGACGGGGCCCCGCACAAGCGGCGGAGCAUGCGGAUUAAUUCGAUGCAACGCGUAGAACCUUACCUGGGUUUGACAUGGAUCGGGAGUGCUCAGAGAUGGGUGUGCCUCUUUUGGGGUCGGUUCACAGGUGGUGCAUGGCUGUCGUCAGCUCGUGUCGUGAGAUGUUGGGUUAAGUCCCGCAACGAGCGCAACCCUUGUUCACUGUUGCCAGCACGUUAUGGUGGGGACUCAGUGGAGACCGCCGGGGUCAACUCGGAGGAAGGUGGGGAUGACGUCAAGUCAUCAUGCCCCUUAUGUCCAGGGCUUCACGCAUGCUACAAUGGCUGGUACAGAGAGUGGCGAGCCUGUGAGGGUGAGCGAAUCUCGGAAAGCCGGUCUCAGUUCGGAUUGGGGUCUGCAACUCGACCUCAUGAAGUCGGAGUCACUAGUAAUCGCAGAUCAGCAACGCUGCGGUGAAUACGUUCCCGGGGCUUGUACACACCGCCCGUCAAGUCAUGAAAGUUGGUAACACCCGAAGCCGGUGGCCUAACCGUUGUGGGGGAGCCGUCGAAGGUGGGACUGGUGAUUAGG